CCUACGUGAGGCAGCAGUGGGGAAUAUUGGGCAAUGGGCGAAAGUCUGACCCAGCAACGCCGCGUGAAGGAAGAAGUCUUUCGGUUUGUAAACCUCUUUUGACAGGGAAGAGAAGAAGACGGUACCUGUCGAAUAAGCCACGGCUAACUACGUGCCAGGAGCCGCGGUAAUACGUAGGUGGCAAGCGUUGUCCGUAUUUACUGGGUGUAAAGGGCGUGUAGCCGGGCUUACAAGUCAGAUGUGAAAGCCGGGGGCUCAACCCCCGUACUGCAGUUGAAACUGUAGGUCUAGAGUGUCGGAGAGGCAGGCGGAAUUCCUGGUGUAGCAGUGAAAUGCGUAGAUAUCAGGAGGAACACCAGUGGCGAAGGCGGCCUGCUGGACCGCAACUGACGGUGAGGCGCGAAAGCGUGGGGAGCAAACAGGAUUAGAUACCCGAGUAGUC
RNAcentral lists this ribosomal RNA (442 nucleotides) under uncultured bacterium. RNAcentral describes it as "partial 16S ribosomal RNA". It matches the Rfam family "Bacterial small subunit ribosomal RNA", at positions 338 to 795 of the family's 1533-position model. The record is from RNAcentral.